GAGUUUGAUCUUGGCUCAGAACGAACGCUGGCGGCAUGCCUAACACAUGCAAGUCGAACGGCAGCACGGGGGCAACCCUGGUGGCGAGUGGCGAACGGGUGAGUAAUACAUCGGAACGUAUCCUUAAGUGGGGGAUAACGCACCGAAAGGUGUGCUAAUACCGCAUAAUCUCCAAGGAGAAAAGCAGGGGAUCGCAAGACCUUGCGCUUUUGGAGCGGCCGAUGUCUGAUUAGCUAGUUGGUGAGGUAAAGGCUUACCAAGGCGUCGAUCAGUAGCUGGUCUGAGAGGACGACCAGCCACACUGGGACUGAGACACGGCCCAGACUCCUACGGGAGGCAGCAGUGGGGAAUUUUGGACAAUGGGGGAAACCCUGAUCCAGCCAUGCCGCGUGAGUGAAGAAGGCCUUCGGUUGUAAG
Molecule: ribosomal RNA, 417 nt
Filed under: uncultured beta proteobacterium
Lineage: Bacteria; Pseudomonadati; Pseudomonadota; Betaproteobacteria
Description: bacterial SSU rRNA
Rfam family: Bacterial small subunit ribosomal RNA
Source: RNAcentral